RNAcentral lists this unclassified non-coding RNA (209 nucleotides) under Melitaea cinxia (Glanville fritillary). Its description in RNAcentral is "misc RNA ENSMCXG00005013283.1". The record is from RNAcentral. Lineage: Eukaryota; Metazoa; Arthropoda; Insecta; Lepidoptera; Nymphalidae.
CUUACUCCUAUUUCGAUCCAACCUAAUCUCCGGCGCCCACGAUGAGACGACCUGACAGACGUCAAACGCGUGAAGUUGGUAUUAGCGCUACGUUUUCUGAACGUUUGGUAAUGUAAUUUUCUGCAAAACUUUAUAUAUAUACUUUAUUGCACUUAACAACAGAAUAUACAGAAAAUUACAUGUAUAGUUGAUGGCAAAGGUGGACUUAU